UGUGAAUAAUCGGUGCGAACGUGGGAAUCGCGCUGGCGUUGCAAGUUCGCAGUGCAGUUGUUGUUGUAACGUCCAUGUGGAGUGUCAAUUAUGUGGAAAUAUAUUUACAAAGAUGCCCCCUGUGCGUGUACGUGUGUGUGAGUGAUUCUCCUGGCACUGAAUGUCACUAAAAGAGAGCGAGGGAGAGACCGCGAGUGUGGGAGUGGAAGUGGAAGUGGGGCUGCUCUCUUUCCAGUGCGUGUAGAUCAGUUACCGCCAACAAUAACAACAACAACAACAGCAAUAACAGCAGCAUCGGCAGCAGCAGCAAUAACAAACAAACAAACAAGCAAGCGACAAUUCACAUUCAUUCCCAUUCAUUGCUGCGAUUAUCGCCAGUUGUGCUUUGCUCUUUCACCACGCACGAACACGAACCAGUGGGUGAAAGGAAGUGAGAGUGGAGAGUGGAGACCGGAGAGCGGAAAGAGCGCGGAGAGUGUCGCGUGUGAACCGUAGGAAAAUGAGCGGGGGCUGCGGAGGCCGAAGCGAAUGAAGUGGAAGCAGCAACAGUCGAAAAGUUCGCUCUGGGCACGCCCCCUUAUGACGCCCCCUGUGACGCGUUAUCAGCGGACACCCAACAAACACAACAAACACAAAGACCUGACCAAAAUCCACACAAAAUGGCGAUAAACUCGAGUGCCAGAGAAUGAGAAACGCCGCGGGCCCAAAAAGUUCGUUCCCCAAAUAAAAAGGAGCUAAACAAACUCGUUUCUGCCCCACAACAACACCACCCAUGCCCCCCUAAACCCCCGGAGAUCCCGCACCACAGAACCCACCACAAGCAGCGAUAAGCAUCCGAAGAUUUGGGUGGCCCAGUCCACAAAAAACCCCGCACCAACCCCGAAACAAGCGCCUAAGAUGUGUUCCCGCAACAUUAAGAUCUCGGUGGUGCUGUUUCUCGUCCUGAUACCAAUCUUCGCCGCCUUGCCACACAACCACAACCUGUCGAAGCGCAGCAACUUCUUCGACCUGGAGUGCAAGGGCAUCUUCAACAAGACCAUGUUCUUCCGACUGGACCGCAUCUGCGAGGACUGCUACCAGUUGUUCCGCGAGACGAGUAUACACCGAUUAUGCAAGAAAGACUGCUUUGAUUCAAAAUGGUUUGGCGAGUGCCUGAAAGUGCUGUUAAUACCCGAAGAGGAAAUAUCCAACCUCCAGCACUUUCUGAGAGUAGUGAACGGCUCGCCCAUAUCCUUCAACAUGGGGCCGCAAACAUAACUCUAAGUCCCGCCCACACACCCACACCCACACCCACACCACCCACCACACACCAUACAGCACACACCACACACAGUUGAGAAUCGCUGCGAACAUCGUGGGUUGGAACGGGCAUCCGAGUCCAGAUCCAGAUGCAGUCCCACUACGACCACAAAUGCAGAGCCAGAACACAGAAAUCUAAAAUAUUAAAACGCCCAAAUUUAAUUCGUACUUAUUUAUUACUGUAUGCCUUACAGUUUUUACUAUAUGUGUUUUUUUAAAAACGAAUUAUUUUUAUUAAUUUAUUGAGAACGUUAUGCGUUUGUUGUAAGUAACAUAAUCGGGGAGUGAGAGAUGGGCGAUGUUGAUGAUGAUGAUGAUAAUAAUGAUGAGGAUGAUAAUGAUGAUGAUAAGGUGGAGGAUCGCAGAUCUCGCACUCCCCAAAUAUACAUAGAAGCCGAAGUAUUUAUUUUUAAGUAUUCUUAGCUUGUUUUAUUAUUAUUGCGUUAUGCGGUUUGUAUAUAAAAUAAACAAAACGAAAUCCAUUGUUUUUAAUCUAUGUAAUGUAAAAUGAUAACUUUUAUUUUUGUAUCUGUAUUCUACUGUAAAAUCAGCAUUUAGAGUUUACAUUUUACACGAUUUUCCGCAAGGGCAAACUACAUUGAUAAAGAUAAACCCAUUACGAACACACACCCCCACACACACACACAUACACAUACGCAAUCGAGACCGAAAGUAUUUUGCAAAUGUAUUACACUUACAAUUUUGUGCUAUUUUGUAAAGAUGAAACCCUGAAUAGUGUAAAUCUGUUGGCGCAAAAACGAGAUAUUUGCCUAUAAAGUAUAUGCAUACCUAUCUAAAGCUAAAGCCCUACGUAUGUAUCCGAAUACGAAUACCCUACACACAUGCUUACUAUUAGAGAGAAAAGCAAGAUCGCAAUUUGUGCAAGACACAAACAAAAACCUGGUAAAAACACGCGAAGUACGACUGCAUUACAAAUGCGGCAAUAAAUAAUACAAAUAAACCCCUGUAAAUUAAUAAAGGAUAAUCAUUCGCUGGCUAUUUGAGAGCAUCAAAAUUGUGAUAAAUGAGAAUUUAGAAUGCGAAUGCGCGACGCAGAGCGACCAGAGACCCAGAGACACGAGAAAGUGAUCGCUAUAUCGCUAAAUAGGCGGCGGAGAAUGCCAGAGACACCGCCAGAGAAAGAGAACGCCAUGGAGGAGGCGACAGAGACAGACAGACUGCAGCUGGCGAUUUGCGCGCGUUUCUGGCGCGACUAAAAACGCCUGCUUACCGUUUUUGUUUUGGCAAGAAUGCUUCGGAUCGCCCUUCUUCAACGCCUGCAUAGAGGCUCUUCAGCUGCACGAGGAGAUGGACAAGUAUAACGAAUGGCGCGAUACCCUGGGUCGCAAGUAAAAAGCGAUUCUCUGGGAUUUUCUGGCACCGUCACUGGCACGAGCAGCUACUUAAUUCUAUAAACUAUUAACUAAAACUAUUAUUAUUGAUAACUGUGGCAGAACACGGCACGAAACUAUGGCAACCAGGAAACGAUCGACCCGAGGAAUGUGUACCACUUAAAGAAACAACUAAGCUAACAUCUAGCUACAAGAGAAAGCAGAUCAAAAAUGUUGAAAAAAAAAAUUAUGAAAACAAUUACUAAACUAUUACACGCUACUUAUCCGCACAUAUAUCGGAAAGUUAAGAUUGGUCUAUAUAUUAAUUCCAUCAUCUGUCACGGAACAGUCUCGUGGAGCUUUUAGUUGUAGUGAAUUACGUGAAUUAUGCUCAUUUCUUUUAGUUCUUCGCGCAGAAGAGAGCGAAAAAUUAUGCCACGAAACAAACAUGAAAAUAAACAUGAGAACAAACAAACAAACAAACGAACGAACGAACAAGAAUCAAAAUGUCUGAUGUAUAUAACUAUUUUUGUCUUCUUUUAAAGAUUUCUAUACAUAUUUAUAACGCCUAACUAAUUUGUACAUUUCUUUUAUUUCGUAAGCUUAAGUUAAUUUGUUACGGCAAUAAAUUCUACGUUCCCACAUACGCACUCUUGCAAUAGAACGGAAAACACAUCUGAGCAACCCCACACGGCAUAAUUCGAUUCUAUGUACUAUUGCAAAUGCCCUACAAUUAUAUAAAUAUUAAUUAAUUUAAACUUGUUUGGAUCUAGUCGUAAAAUAUAAAUAAAGAUUGUAUAUUUCAAGAGGA
RNA transcript from Drosophila yakuba, 3441 nucleotides. It is a transcript of the gene named ion transport peptide, with no coding region annotated. The record is from RefSeq and is a predicted model, not a curated record. The transcript has 4 exons. NCBI's taxonomy places the organism in Eukaryota, Metazoa, Arthropoda, Insecta, Diptera, Drosophilidae.